Molecule: unclassified non-coding RNA, 271 nt
Filed under: Hevea brasiliensis (rubber tree)
Lineage: Eukaryota; Viridiplantae; Streptophyta; Magnoliopsida; Malpighiales; Euphorbiaceae
Source: RNAcentral
GUUGUCUUCCAAGCAAGAAAAGUCCCACAGAGGUAAAAGCAGAUAAAAAUGUAGAUGAGUAAAAAAGCACAAGCAAAGCUCCCCUUAGAGACUUAGCCAGCAGUAUAGCAUUGUCAUUCGGAUACUGCAAGGAGUUCUCUGGUAUGCUUUGAAUACCCUGGGCUAGUUCCAUGAAAGAAUCCCAAAAGCAACUCCAAUUACAGCUCCAAUAUUGGCUUUCACUGGUGUUACUUCAACCUGAAGUUCUCCAAACUUGAAGACUCUGGUUUCU